RNAcentral lists this ribosomal RNA (398 nucleotides) under Salmonella enterica subsp. enterica. RNAcentral describes it as "bacterial SSU rRNA". It matches the Rfam family "Bacterial small subunit ribosomal RNA", at positions 41 to 435 of the family's 1533-position model. Lineage: Bacteria; Pseudomonadati; Pseudomonadota; Gammaproteobacteria; Enterobacterales; Enterobacteriaceae. RNAcentral also lists the same sequence under 1 other name. The record is from RNAcentral.
GGCAGGCCUAACACAUGCAAGUCGAACGGUAACAGGAAGCAGCUUGCUGCUUCGCUGACGAGUGGCGGACGGGUGAGUAAUGUCUGGGAAACUGCCUGAUGGAGGGGGAUAACUACUGGAAACGGUGGCUAAUACCGCAUAACGUCGCAAGACCAAAGAGGGGGACCUUCGGGCCUCUUGCCAUCAGAUGUGCCCAGAUGGGAUUAGCUUGUUGGUGAGGUAACGGCUCACCAAGGCGACGAUCCCUAGCUGGUCUGAGAGGAUGACCAGCCACACUGGAACUGAGACACGGUCCAGACUCCUACGGGAGGCAGCAGUGGGGAAUAUUGCACAAUGGGCGCAAGCCUGAUGCAGCCAUGCCGCGUGUAUGAAGAAGGCCUUCGGGUUGUAAAGUACUU